UAAUCGUUGAAAUUUAAUAAAAAUAAAAGUUGAUACGUCAAAAUGUUCAGAUAAAUAAACUCUAUAAAAUGGCUAUCUUCAAAUUUUUCAAAAAUAAUAAAAUAAAAUUGUUUUUACUAAAACAUAAAAAAUGAAUUGAAAUAUAAAUAUGUAUAAUCCUUUACCCAGUGAGUAACAAAAAAAAAACAUAAUUCGAUUAUCUUUAUUAUCUUCGGAGAUAUUACAAUGCGUAUACCUUCGUGGGACACCCUGGAAAUGUUCUGAAAGGGUUGUAAUAUUUACGAUUUUCAUCAAAAUUUGAUUUCCCGUCUAAAACAAAAAAAACAUGUUCACGCAUUUCUGUUCAAAAAUGAAUCGAAAUGUUUUGAAAAUUUUACCACGUCUAAAAAAACUAAAUAUAAGUUUUUUAUCAAAAUUUCAAGUCUUUAAGGAUAUUUUUAACUGAAUACCAUUAAAAAACAAAAGUUAAAAUAAUAAAAUAAUUAUUUCCGUACAUUUUUCCGUUCUUUAACUAAUUUAAUUUAAAAUAAUUUGGUUUUAAAUUUAUUUACUUUAAUUAAUUUUCCAAUGACAAUUAAUAAAUUAACUAUAUAUUGUUUCAUAUGUUACGGUGUCAUUUUAGUACGCCGAUUUGUAAGAAUGUUUUUGUGUAUGCUGAAGGACCGUUCGACAUCAACCGAUGUCACUAGAGAAUAUUGUAAGUCAGCUACCAUAGUCAGUGAAUAAUUUUCCAGAAGUUGUACUGUGUUAUUUCCAUUGAAAACUUGUCCAAUAUUUUUCAAAAAUUUGUAUCCUUAAUUUUUUUGUUGAAGUUGCAAUAUUUUUGUUUUCACUACUUCUCUUUUUUCUCCUGGUAUCUGCUUAAGUUGUAUAAAAGUGUUUUCGAUAAUAUUUAACAUAUCAACUAAAGGCCUAUUAAAUUUUUUAAAACUUUUGAUAACUGUAACAAUUAUUAGAAAAUUAGUUUUAAUAAAAAUUAAAUCAUUUUUUACAGACUGUAGGUGUAACAUUUUUGAAUUUUUCAAUACUAACCGACAACUUUUCUUCACUUAAUUUGCCUAUAACAUUUUAAAACCCUCAAAUUUUCACAAUUAAAUACAGCGGCUUCCAGCCAAGUUCCCCCUCCCUUAGUUAAUACAGGUUCUGAAAGUAAUGGCAUAUUGGGCAAUAUUUUUUUGUACACCUGGACAUGAUAUGGCACUUUUAAAAAUACUUUUUAAUAUUAUUAAUCAGUUUGCUCACAUUUGGAAACAUUUCUCUGAUCUUCUCUGCAAUUCUGUUCAUCAUGUGAACUACACACGUAACGUGAAUUAAAUUUGGGUAGAAAACUUUUAAUGUAUCACCAGUUUUUGUCAUGUAUGGAGCUGCAUCCGAAAACAUUAAUAGCAAUUUUUCGUCAUUUCCACCCAACGGUCAUGUAACGGUCAGUAAUGCACUUUCAUCUAGAAUACGUUUUCCAGUGUAUUUCUCUAAAAAUUUACGAAAUUGAGGCACUUGAAUUUUAUACCAAGGUAUAUUAGCUGUUACUAAGGCUAGACACAAAUUUUUAUUAAAAUCAUUUAAAUUGCUUUCAUUGGGAGUAACUCCUAAUAAAAAUAAUUGUUUUCACGAAGUAUUUAAUUUACGAUUCAAAUAAUUUUUAUGGAUAGUCAUAUGUACAUUUUACCUAUGACUUUUUGAUGCAAGGAAUAUUUUUGUCACAAACUUGACAAAAAAAUUGUUGUACUAUCUAUCGUGAAAAUCGUUUAUUGGUUAUUGUACGACGAAAUCCAAUUAAAAAAAUAAAUUUUUAAAACUGCUUGAAGUUUUUAGCAGACUUGUAUGUUAUUGUAAUACGAAUGGAAAGACAAUAUUUAAGCAUUCAAAUAUCAACACGUACCGCCACGGACGACUGAAUGGUCGUGACAGCUAACGAAAUAACCGGUGUGUUAUCACCAUCGAUAAGGAAUAUCUGCUGAUUAAUUUAUAUUAGAACCCAAAAAUAAAUUGUAUAGUGAAUAUUGUAUUAUACGUGAAAUAUGUUCAUUAUAACGAU
RNAcentral lists this long non-coding RNA (2035 nucleotides) under Cinara cedri. Lineage: Eukaryota; Metazoa; Arthropoda; Insecta; Hemiptera; Aphididae. The record is from RNAcentral.